GUAGGUGGCAAGCGUUGUCCGGAAUUAUUGGGCGUAAAGCGCGCGCAGGCGGUUCUUUAAGUCUGAUGUGAAAGCCCACGGCUCAACCGUGGAGGGUCAUUGGAAACUGGAGAACUUGGGUACAGAAGAGGAAAGCGGAAUUCCACGUGUAGCGGUGAAAUGCGUAGAGAUGUGGAGGAACACCAGUGGCGAAGGCGGCUUUCUGGUCUGUAACUGACGCUGAGGCGCGAAAGCGUGGGGAGCAAACAGGGAUUAGAUACCCUGGUAGUCCACGCCGUAAACGAUGAGUGCUAAGUGUUAGGGGGUUUCCCGCCCCCUUAGUGCUGCAGCUAACGCAUUAAGCACUCCGCCUGGGGAGUACGGCCGCAAGGCUG
RNAcentral lists this ribosomal RNA (374 nucleotides) under uncultured organism. Its description in RNAcentral is "partial 16S ribosomal RNA". It matches the Rfam family "Bacterial small subunit ribosomal RNA", at positions 527 to 896 of the family's 1533-position model. The record is from RNAcentral.